ACUCACACCAUUUAAUUACUAAUAUUUUGUAUAUCUCACGAACCGUCCCUAGAGCAAGUGGCAAAGAACUUGAUGGUUGGUACCCGAGGUCCCAAAUUUGAAUCCUAGUUGAUUUAUAUUUUCAGCUAAAUUUAUUUCUAAAUGAAAUAAACGAAGCGGGUAGCGUGCUACCUAUCUCUCAAAAAAAAAAAAAAAUCAAUAUUUUUUUUAUGGUGCACUCUAUUUAUACAUGUUAUAAAUGUAACGACCCGACACGCUAGCAACAAUAACUCAUUGGGUCCAAACCACCGGGCCCAAAAUGCUUAAGCCGGGUUAUUAUUACUAGCGUGUAGGCCUCAUAUAAACUGAUCGAAAUCAGUAGAGAUUUUAGAGGUGGCUCCUACCAAAUCCGUUGGUGUAGCACUUUGUCCCACAUAGCACUUAGCUUUCACACUUCUAGCCGGUAUUCGUCUCUGAUACUAUUUGUAAUGACCCGACCCGCUAGCAACAAUAACUCGUUGGGUCCAAACUACCUGCUCAAAAUACUUAAGCCAGGUUAUUAUUACUAGCGUGUAGGCCUCAUAUAAAUUGAUCGAAAUCAGUAUCCCAUCCAAUGUGGGAUUAUUGGAGCGUUACAAUAAAAUAGUGCAAUUUCUAUUUUAAUUGUGCAAUAUUUUA
This 657-nucleotide long non-coding RNA is filed under the name Ananas comosus (pineapple). RNAcentral's name for it is "long non-coding RNA (ACOM_LNC024072)". Lineage: Eukaryota; Viridiplantae; Streptophyta; Magnoliopsida; Poales; Bromeliaceae. The record is from RNAcentral.